GACGAACGCUGGCGGCGUGCUUAACACAUGCAAGUCGAACGGAAAGGCCCUGCUUUUGUGGGGUGCUCGAGUGGCGAACGGGUGAGUAACACGUGAGUAACCUGCCCUUGACUUUGGGAUAACUCCAGGAAACUGGGGCUAAUACCGGAUAGGAGCUCCUGCUGCAUGGUGGGGGUUGGAAAGUUUCGGCGGUUGGGGAUGGACUCGCGGCUUAUCAGUUUGUUGGGGGGGUAGUGGCUUACCAAGGCUUUGACGGGUAGCCGGCCUGAGAGGGUGACCGGCCACAUUGGGACUGAGGUACGGCCCAGACUCCUACGGGAGGCAGCAGUGGGGAAUAUUGCACAAUGGGCGGAAGCCUGAUGCAGCAACGCCGCGUGCGGGAUGACGGCCUUCGGGUUGUAAACCGCUUUCGCCUGUGACGAAGCGUGAGUGACGGUAAUGGGUAAAGAAGCACCGGCUAACUACGUG
This 468-nucleotide ribosomal RNA is filed under the name uncultured bacterium. Its description in RNAcentral is "partial 16S ribosomal RNA". It matches the Rfam family "Bacterial small subunit ribosomal RNA", at positions 28 to 507 of the family's 1533-position model. The record is from RNAcentral.